UGUAUUUGUUUUGACGGAAAAAAAAUCAUAGAAUUAGCAAAAUUUAUAAUGUGAUUUCCAAGUUUAAGAAAAUGUAGCCAGGAUUUGAGUAGUGUUUUAAAUUUUCACUACAUUUGAAUGAUUUACUACUGCUGUAUUGUAGGUUUAGCUCCAAUAUCUGGUUGCAGGAAUUAGCCUUUUGGGAUGCUUGUUGAUGUCGUGAUACUUAUUUACUUUUGCUUGAAAUUUGGCUUUGAAUUCGCCCAAUGGAUAUGCUCUUUCUUUUUCUACUUUUUUUUGAGAUAAUGCUUUUGCAUAAGGACACAUUGAUUAAAAAAGGAAACGCACAGCUAAACCAUUUUUAUGCAUUCAUUGCCAAGAAUCAUCCAAUCUUAUAAGAGUUAGUGAGAGUUAACAACUACAAUGCCUUCUGUUUAUGGUUAUUUAAUGGUGAGCUGAUCUGAGUAAUCAUUUGAGAAAUGCAGGUUCGGGGUUGGAUUGUUCACAAUAUUUGCUGGAUCAUGAAAUUUUUGACGAGGUAUGUUUGAUUCCUUUGGCUAUUGUUUGAAUCUUUUGCUGGAUUGGAAGAUGUAGGUUUGGAUCUGUGGAAAACAAAUUUUUUUUUUUUCUUUGUUUUCUUUUUCUUUUUAAAAUUUUCUUGGAACCCCUGGUUUGAUAGAAAAUAAAAACACAAUUUUCGGUAGAAAAGAACUGAUGAAAGAAAAGAAGUGUGAUGUUUCUUCUGGAUGACCUGCUCUUGUUAAACGCGUAGAUUGGUGUGGGUUUUCAUGAGCUUGGAGUGGGUUUCAGUUCGUCUUCCAGAGUGUGAUACCUGAUAAAGUUCUAUUGCAUUGCCAGGAAAUGUCAGGUUGCCUGACAUUUAUGUGUGUUAAUGUAGAUUGUCAAUUUGAUGGGCUACCACAUGGAUUGUGGAUGGCCAGAGCUCAGAAAGCAAGUUGAUUGCCUGUCAUGGUCAUCCUUUUAGUGGCCUGAAAAAUGAGAGCACUUGUGUAGGGCAACCGAGACUAUCAGCUAGGUGGCUACCACAUGGAUCAUGGAUGGCUGGACCUCAGAAUGUAACUCGAUCAGACUCAUAGUCAUCUGAUUAGUUGCCUAAAAGGGAGAUGGUUAGCUCAAAUAAUGAGCAGCAGUCUCCAUUCAGCUGCAAAACUCGCGACAAUUGGAUGGUCAGAGAUGUUCAGUCGCUGUAAAAAUUCAGACGGAGAGUAUGUCGAGUUUUCUCAGUCGUCGCUUUUGUCGAUCCUGGAGAGUCACCGGUUGAUUCAGAAACAUCUGGCUGUAAUUCCACUCUGUCGGUCUGUUUUUCGCUGUUUUUACAAUUCACGAAGCGGUUGUUGAGGUCGAGCUCGCGUCUGGAAUUUGGAGCGUUUGAUGGAAUUGAAGACGAAUACUCUGACGAAUUUAUGGUCAGAUCUUCAAUUUCCAUAAAAUUUCUUAAUUUUUUUAGUUGUUUUGUAUUUAUAUUGUCUAAAUUGAUAUUGUAAUUUUUAGCUUUUGAGGUUCGAAAAUGAAGAGCAUGAAGAGUGCUACAAAAAGCUCAGGAACAGGGAGAGGAGACACGAGUAUCGGCACGACUAUGCCGAGGAAUACGGCCCGACAACAGAGUACGGAGAUGUCGUGCUCCAGCAGCGGCUGCUAAUGGUGAACUGGAUAACCGAGGUAGCAAUGGCCUAGAAAAGAUGAAUUCAUAAUCUUUCUUGUACCGGAAGGGCAGGGACUGGCACUACUGCAGAUAUGAUCAGGCAGUUUAGAAAAUCGCUACGUUAGGAAGGAAGAUUUGCUAAUAUUUUCUCUUCAACGUCAUUUUAGCAUGACUAAACAAUUGUCUUGGAAGAUUUGUUAAUACUUCGAACACUGAUUGUAAGUUUGGCACCUUUUUUGUUUAAUUCUAUUAAGAAUUUAUAUC
Molecule: long non-coding RNA, 1906 nt
Organism: Magnolia sinica
Lineage: Eukaryota; Viridiplantae; Streptophyta; Magnoliopsida; Magnoliales; Magnoliaceae
Exons: 4
Source: RefSeq, a predicted model, not a curated record